Long non-coding RNA from Neofelis nebulosa (Clouded leopard), 619 nucleotides. RefSeq lists it as uncharacterized. The transcript has 2 exons. Lineage: Eukaryota; Metazoa; Chordata; Mammalia; Carnivora; Felidae. The record is from RefSeq and is a predicted model, not a curated record.
GUCAGCAAAUAACAACGACAGGCUAACUAACCUCCCCUGUGGGCCAGGUACCUUGCUGAGUGCUUUCCACGCAUUAACCGAAACGGCCGCGUGAGAGAGAGCAGGGAAGGGACACAGAGAGGGAGACACAGGAUCCGAAGCAGGCUCCAGGCUCCGAGCCGCCAGCACAGAGCCCGACGCGGGGCUCGAACUCACGGACCGAGAGAUCGCGACCUGAGCCGAAGUCGGACGCUUCACCGACCGAGCCACCCAGGCACCCCCCAAAUUGUGUAUAUUUCAAGUGUACAACAUGAUGUUCUGAUAUAUACAUAUGUAGUGAAAUGUUUACUACAGCAAAGCUAAUUCACCUACCCGUGUCUGCACCAUCAUUUGUUCUGUGAUGAGAGCCCCCGAAAUCUACUCUUCUAGCACAUUUCUGGUACACGACACGGUAUUUUUAACUAUAAUCCCCAAGCCGUGCAUUGGACCUCGAGGCUUAUUCGUCCGAUGUGAGGGUAACUUUGCAAACUGGGGCCAACAUCCCUCCAUUCUCCCAUCUCCCCACCCCUGGUAACCACUGUUCUACUCUGUGUCUAUGAACUCAACUUUCUGAGAUUCCACAUAAAAGUGAGAUCAUGCA